This 513-nucleotide ribosomal RNA is filed under the name uncultured bacterium. Its description in RNAcentral is "bacterial SSU rRNA". It matches the Rfam family "Bacterial small subunit ribosomal RNA", at positions 28 to 529 of the family's 1533-position model. The record is from RNAcentral.
GAUGAACGCUAGCGGGAGGCUUAACACAUGCAAGUCGAGGGGCAGCAUAGGGUAGCAAUACUCUGAUGGCGACCGGCAAACGGGUGAGUAACGCGUAUGCAACCUACCCUGUACAGGGGGAUAACCCGGAGAAAUUCGGACUAAUAUCCCGUAAUAAUAUCCGGAGGCAUCUUUGGAUAUUUAAAGUUCCGACGGUACGGGAUGGGCAUGCGUAACAUUAACUGGUUGGUAAGGUAACGGCUUACCAAGGCUAUGAUGUUUAGGGGUCCUGAGAGGGUGGUCCCCCACACUGGUACUGAGACACGGACCAGACUCCUACGGGAGGCAGCAGUGAGGAAUAUUGGUCAAUGGGCGCAAGCCUGAACCAGCCAUCCCGCGUGCAGGAAGACGGCCCUAUGGGUUGUAAACUGCUUUUCCAGGGAGAGAAACUUACGCACGUGUUGCGUGACUGACGGUACCCUGGGAAUAAGCAUCGGCUAACUCCGUGCCAGCAGCCGCGGUAAAAUACUCGUA